GUGCUAUUACAAAAUUAAUGCUAUGAAAAGGCUUGCGCUUAUUCACUCUGUACAGGUCAGCAGAUCCAGCAACAUGAGUUGCAAAACUCCCUUUCAUACCAGAAUCACCCUUAAUAAAUCUUCUCAAGUCAUCACGGUACUUCCCAUUCCACUCAGCCCACCUGUCCCAGUUAGGAAAUUUUCCAACCAGAUAAAGGCCUCCACAAUCCCAAGGUUCUGCAAUAAUUUUACACCUUGAUAGGAUAGGGUCUUUGGCAAUUGCCCUAAUAACUGGGGGAGCACUAAGUGGAGUGCCAUCAAUUCCACGACAAAGUACGCUGGCCAGGUCAAAUCGAAAUCCAUCCACAUGGUAUUCAGUGACCCAGUGUCUUAGGCUCUCUAGGAUGAGCUCCAUGACCACAGGAUGAUUACAGUUUAAAGUGUUCCCACAUCCAGAAAAGUUAAGCAACUGGCCUUUAUUUGGGUCCAACAUGUAAUAAACCUUAUUAUCUAUGCCACGGAAUGAAGUGGUAUAAGGAUUUUGGUCGUCUACCUCAUUUGUGUGAUUAUAGACGACAUCCAAAAUAACCUCAAUGCCAGCACCAUGCAAGGCGUUGACCAUUUCCUUAAAUUCUCGAGAUGCAUUACAAGGUCCUCCACCACCACUAGCAUAUCGACUCAUAGGAGCAAAGAAAUUUAUUGUUGAAUAGCCCCAUGUAUUGAUCAUGUGAUCUCUGGGGUUUGGGCGUCUCUGAAACUCAAAUUCAUCAAAUUCAAACACAGGCAGCAACUCCACUGCAUUGACACCCAGCUCUAGAAGAUGCGGAAUCUUUUNGCUAAGCUAGUUGAAGGUCGCCGUAUUUUUGGAUCUAAGCCACUAGAUUCAUCAGCUGUAAAUGCACGAACAUUCAUUUCAUAUAUCACAAGAUCUUUCUCUGGUAU
RNAcentral lists this unclassified non-coding RNA (921 nucleotides) under Hevea brasiliensis (rubber tree). Lineage: Eukaryota; Viridiplantae; Streptophyta; Magnoliopsida; Malpighiales; Euphorbiaceae. The record is from RNAcentral.